This is a non-coding RNA of Henosepilachna vigintioctopunctata, 73 nucleotides long. The record is from the annotation of a GenBank genome assembly. Lineage: Eukaryota; Metazoa; Arthropoda; Insecta; Coleoptera; Coccinellidae.
GCCUCCGUACCUUAGUCGGUAGAAGUCCCGACUAUAGUGCAGUAGAACUUGGGUUCGAACCCCGCUGAAGGCA